GACGAACGCUGGCGGCGUGCUUAACACAUGCAAGUCGAACGGAAAGGCCUCGUUCGGGGGGUACUCGCGUGGCGAACGGGGGAGUAACACGUGAGUAACCUGCCCUUGACUUUGGGAUAACUUCAGGAAACUGGGGCGAAUACCGGAGAGGAGCUCCUGCUGCAUGGGGGGGGGGGGAAAGUUUCGGCGGUUGGGGAUGGACUCGCGGCUUAUCAGCUUGUUGGUGGGGGAGUGGCGUACCAAGGCUUUGACGGGUAGCCGGCCUGGGAGGGUGACCGGCCACAUUGGGACUGGGAUACGGCCCAGACUCCUACGGGGGGCAGCAGUGGGGAAUAUUGCACCAUGGGUGGGAGCCUGAUGCAGCCACGCCGUGGGCGGGAUGACGGCCUUCGGGUUGGAAACCGCUUUCGCUCAUGACGAAGCUUUGUGUGACGGUAGUGGGUAAAGAAGCACCGGCUAACUACGUG
This 467-nucleotide ribosomal RNA is filed under the name uncultured bacterium. RNAcentral's name for it is "partial 16S ribosomal RNA". It matches the Rfam family "Bacterial small subunit ribosomal RNA", at positions 28 to 507 of the family's 1533-position model. The record is from RNAcentral.